RNAcentral lists this long non-coding RNA (340 nucleotides) under Panax ginseng (ginseng). RNAcentral's name for it is "long non-coding RNA (PGIN_LNC010207)". Lineage: Eukaryota; Viridiplantae; Streptophyta; Magnoliopsida; Apiales; Araliaceae. The record is from RNAcentral.
UUUGAUUUGUCUGUGUGGCAUUGUUUUGAUGUGCCUGUGUGGCAUUAUUUUGGUUGCCUAUGUGGCAUCAUUUGAUUUGCCUGUGUGGCAUUAUUUUGACUUACAUGUGUGGCAAGGUAUAUUUCUGAGCUCAUUCGGUAUGAAAUAACUCCAGCCGUUUGUUUCAGCCUAUUAUUUUAUUGGAUUAGUUUUGUUGGUUUUUGUUCAGUUCAAGUCAUUGAGUUAGUUACUUCAGUUCGCUAUUUCUUUAUUCUUUUAUUGGUUUCGUCAAUUAUGUUGAUUCAUAUAUAUUCCAUUCAGAUCCUUGGAUAUUAUAUUUUCGUUCGUACUUGUACUUGAG